This 292-nucleotide unclassified non-coding RNA is filed under the name Mycoplasmopsis bovigenitalium. RNAcentral describes it as "Mycoplasma bovigenitalium partial contains 16S ribosomal RNA, 16S-23S ribosomal RNA intergenic spacer, and 23S ribosomal RNA". The stretch from base 106 to 292 matches the Rfam family "Bacterial large subunit ribosomal RNA", at positions 1 to 186 of the family's 2925-position model. Lineage: Bacteria; Bacillati; Mycoplasmatota; Mycoplasmoidales; Metamycoplasmataceae. The record is from RNAcentral.
CGUAUUGAUUCAUCGAGUAAUCAUAUUAACAUAUGAUUCAUUGAAAUGUCUUAAAAUACACAUCAUAACAAUAGGAAAUCUUAAUUUAAUAAAUUAAGGACAUACUUUUAAAUAAGUAAGAGUUUGUGGUGGAUGCCUUGGGUCUGGAAGUCGAUGAAGGACGUGAUUACCUGCGAUAAGCCUCGUGGAGCUGGAUAUAAGCUACGAAACGGGGAUUUCCGAAUGGGGAAACCUAACUAGGGUAAUGCCUAGUUGCCUUCUUGUGAAUACAUAGCAAGUCGAGCGAGACACC